GAUGAACGCUGGCGGCGUGCUUAACACAUGCAAGUCGAACGAUGAAGCCCAGCUUGCUGGGUGGAUUAGUGGCGAACGGGUGUGUAACACGUGAGUAACCUGCCCUUAACUCUGGGAUAAGCCUGGGAAACUGGGUCUAAUACCGGAUAGGAGCGUCCACCGCAUGGUGGGUGUUGGAAAGAUUUAUCGGUUUUGGAUGGACUCGCGGCCUAUCAGCUUGUUGGUGAGGUAGUGGCUCACCAAGGCGACGACGGGUAGCCGGCCUGAGAGGGUGACCGGCCACACUGGGACUGAGACACGGCCCAGACUCCUACGGGAGGCAGCAGUGGGGAAUAUUGCACAAUGGGCGCAAGCCUGAUGCAGCGACGCCGCGUGAGGGAUGACGGCCUUCGGGUUGUAAACCUCUUUCAGUAGGGAAGAAGCGAGAGUGACGGUACCUGCAGAAGAAGCACCGGCUAACUACGUG
Molecule: ribosomal RNA, 466 nt
Filed under: uncultured bacterium
Lineage: Bacteria
Description: partial 16S ribosomal RNA
Rfam family: Bacterial small subunit ribosomal RNA
Source: RNAcentral